RNAcentral lists this long non-coding RNA (440 nucleotides) under Oryza brachyantha (malo sina). RNAcentral's name for it is "long non-coding RNA (OBRA_LNC002469)". Lineage: Eukaryota; Viridiplantae; Streptophyta; Magnoliopsida; Poales; Poaceae. The record is from RNAcentral.
GUCGCGCGAGUGCGCGCGACGAGGGCGCCGCUGCGUUGUUGCGCGACGACCAUGCCACAGUCAUCCGGUACUUCCCCACGCAUGUGAGGCGAGGCCGUGGUCGAUUUGUUCGUUUCGUCAGGCCAAAAUCAAUCAUUUCUUGCCAUCGAUCGAUGCUCCCAAUCUUGCUUGCUAGAUCCUCUUUUAUUUACUUUUUAUAUAUUUAUGUAUUGCUAUUAUCGAUUGAUUGAUGCGAAGCCAAUACUUUGUGUUGUGUUUGAUUACCGAAUUAAUUAGCGUUAAACCUGUGCAUCCAACAUGGAUUACCAAUUUUUUCCCCAGUGAUGAUUGGUGGAUGUAGUUGCACUCCUCUCGCCUCCACAUGUUUUUGUAUGAUAUAUUGCAAUGCAGUUGAAUUAUAUAAGGAACUCCUGUUAUCUGUUUCGCUACCAUGCUUGCUA